GAUGAAGAACGUAGCGAAAUGCGAUAAGUAAUGUGAAUUGCAGAAUUCAGUGAAUCAUCGAAUCUUUUAACGCAUCUUGCGCUCCUUGGUAUUCCAUGGAGCAUGCCUGUUUGAGUGUCACGUAAACCCUCACACCAGUGAUGUCAAAGUCUCUGGAAGUGGAUUUGGACUGUGCCGUAGUUGGCUCGUCCUGAAAUACAUUAGCCUGCGUUUUUUAGCGUGCUCGGCAUGGUGUGAUAAUUAUCUGCGCCGUCGCCUUAGGCCGCUUCUAUAUGCGCUGCUUAUAAUUGUCCCUUGCGGACAGACACUAUAAAGCUCUGGCCUCAAAUCAGGUAGGAUUACCCGCUGAACUUAAGCAUAUCAAUAAGCGGAGGA
RNAcentral lists this unclassified non-coding RNA (375 nucleotides) under soil metagenome. Its description in RNAcentral is "partial contains 5.8S ribosomal RNA, internal transcribed spacer 2, and large subunit ribosomal RNA". The stretch from base 1 to 120 matches the Rfam family "5.8S ribosomal RNA", at positions 35 to 154 of the family's 154-position model. The record is from RNAcentral.